This 67-nucleotide transfer RNA is filed under the name Marmota monax (woodchuck). It matches the Rfam family "tRNA". Rfam says of the family: Transfer RNA (tRNA) molecules are approximately 80 nucleotides in length. Their secondary structure includes four short double-helical elements and three loops (D, anti-codon, and T loops). The record is from Rfam by way of RNAcentral. Lineage: Eukaryota; Metazoa; Chordata; Mammalia; Rodentia; Sciuridae.
GGUUGUGGCUCAGUGGUAGAGCACUUGCCUCACACGCAUGGGGCAUUGGGUUCUAUCCUCAGGACCA